RNAcentral lists this transfer RNA (74 nucleotides) under Puia dinghuensis. RNAcentral's name for it is "tRNA-Thr". It matches the Rfam family "tRNA". Rfam says of the family: Transfer RNA (tRNA) molecules are approximately 80 nucleotides in length. Their secondary structure includes four short double-helical elements and three loops (D, anti-codon, and T loops). Further hydrogen bonds mediate the characteristic L-shaped molecular structure. tRNAs have two regions of fundamental functional importance: the anti-codon, which is responsible for specific mRNA codon recognition, and the 3' end, to which the tRNAs corresponding amino acid is attached (by aminoacyl-tRNA synthetases). tRNAs cope with the degeneracy of the genetic code in two manners: having more than one tRNA (with a specific anti-codon) for a particular amino acid; and 'wobble' base-pairing, i.e. permitting non-standard base-pairing at the 3rd anti-codon position. The record is from RNAcentral. Lineage: Bacteria; Pseudomonadati; Bacteroidota; Chitinophagia; Chitinophagales; Chitinophagaceae.
GCCAGAGUAGCUCAGUUGGUAGAGCAGCUGAUUUGUAAUCAGCUGGUCGGGGGUUCGAGUCCCUUCUCUGGCUC